RNAcentral lists this transfer RNA (77 nucleotides) under Salmonella sp. FORC89. RNAcentral's name for it is "tRNA-Met". The record is from RNAcentral. Lineage: Bacteria; Pseudomonadati; Pseudomonadota; Gammaproteobacteria; Enterobacterales; Enterobacteriaceae.
UUACGGCUUGGGAUCAUAUGCGGCAGCACCAGCCCUAACAGCAAGCCAAUACCCAAUACGCCGCCGCCAUACAUAAA